CGGCGAGUAUAUUAUUUUAUUCAGUACAAAACAAAGUUAAACGAACUUUUGUUAUGCUUUGUUGGUUAUUAAACCAGGCCUUUAAGGUUCUGCUGGAAAUUGGACCGGGAAAUUCCGAGUCGAUUGCUGAGUUGGAUUCCGCUAGUGAGAAACAAGAUGGCGAGCCGUAACCCAGGAGCCAUGUAACUGCCGUCUAGCAGGAGCUACGCCCUCUGCUGGACAUUGCGAAUCAUCCAAACUGAGCAGAGCCUACAGCUUGUUACCAGCAAACGAGCCGAAAUAGACACCAGCCUGUUCUGGACUUACCAAGAUUGUGAACUACCUCUGGCCCAGAUCCAUAAUCCAGAUUCACGCCACUAAUGGAAAAUUGGAACGGGCCAGAUAACUUUUGCUAUCAGGGUAAAGAGAAUUCUGCACACUGUGUCUCCAGAGUAUAGAUGGAUUCUUUAGCAGAGGAAAGAGAGUGGCAGGACAAGAAAAUAACUGCACAUGUUGAAGCCAACAGGCAUACAUCUUUAUUGCAAUGAAAAAGUUAUUGAGGCAUCUUGUUCGUUCUGCCCUUAACGACCUAUAGGGACAGAGAGAUCAGUCUGUAUAGACAACUAAAUUACCAAAGUUUCAAAGAUUUAAAUGCAUAGUUUAUAUAACUUGAACAUUGUUUGAAGUCAAUUCAGUAGGAUGAACACAAACACUGCUUUGUGAUCGUUUAUUGCAUAAUCUGGCACAAUUAUUGCAUUAUAAUGCAUCCUCUCCAUUUUUUGUAUAUAUAUAUUUGGUGGGUGGAGCUAUGAGCCUUAGCUUGUACCACAUGAUGGUCAUCAUUGUAACAUGUGUACACAAUGAAGCUGAUCGCUGCUGAUCAUUCAUCCUUUCCUUAUCAAGACCACUGUGAAUGUGCUCACCAGACAGUGAAAUGAAAGUCAUUCAUAGCCUCUCGAUCUGCAUCAAAGAGCAGCCUUCUAUUGCACUCAAUGUCCUACUUAUAGCCACAGUAAAAUGUAGCAAUUUUGCUGCAUCACCCAGGUUAAGUUGCCUCUAAUUGUAUUAAACCAAUCAUAUCCAAUUUUUUCUAGGUUUUGCUCUUCUUUCUCUGUGGUACUCAUGAAGAGAAUAAUGAAUUGGUUUUUUCUUGAUGGUAAUGAGAGUACCUGAGGUGACACGGUGGCCUAAAUUAAUACAUCCAUAGAGAGUAAAGAGUGUGCUUUUUGUGUUACCCUGCUUUGACAUGCAGUAACUGCAUCCUUCAGCUUAAAAAAAGCACAUUUUAUUAUAAGUUUCUAAACAAGAGAGUGGAUAUGCAUUGUUUUAAAAGCAGAGAAAUCAAGGUUAACUUGAAUACAAUGUUGAGACCGUUUAAGGUACAGUUAAUUUUUUUAAAGUGAGGCUCUAAAGGCUGCAGUAGUUCAUUUUCUAAACUUAGUAGUUAAUUUUUUUGUUGCAGUGGUUUGGCAUGAAUUCUCACUAGUUGAGCCACGACAAUGAAGCUUGUCAGAGAGGAGGCAAGAGCACAGUGCAUUUUCGCUUUUUAUUACAACUCCGAAAUUUAAUCGUAAUUUGUUUGAAUGCAAAUUUUUGAACUUUUCAACCACUGCCAUGUUUUCAUUUGAGGUAAUCAUGAGUGCGUUGUUGCAGACUGAACAUUUAAUAGGUUGAGCAGAUGAGGAUAAUUACCACUAAUAAAUAACAGCAAAUGGCAAUAAUAAUUAUGAACCCUGUCAUAUUUUAGUUGUUAUGACUCCUGGAAGCUAAGAAAAAAAAAUAGUCUGAUCUGUAAACUAUUUGAAGUAUUUAUUUUCUACCUGAUGUGCUAACAUUAUUUGAGAAACCUGUACAAAAAACUGUAAGGGUAACCCUAACCCUUCCACCUCAAACGUCUUGCAUGAUAUAAUAAGUUCUGAAAGGAAAACCUAAAAGUGGACAGAGCACCACUCAAUGUAAACAUAAAAUUAUCUUGAAGAUCCAUUGUUUUUGCCUAAAUCUUUAGGAUACUUUUGAGAAUAGCUGUCUUUUUAAACAGAUAUCCUCCUUGGUCUUGUCCCCUGUCAGACAUGCUUUUAAGGGACAGCAAAUCUGGAUUUAUAUUAAAUGAAUACAGCCAUAAAGUUAUCUGUUACCAUAACUUAAAAAUUAUUAACACUCUCUUUAAUUGUAAGCCUGUUAUUCAGGAUUUCCUUGGAAUGACCUGCAGAACUUGUGUUGUGUGAUUUGUGGUGUUACAGCCCCAAAAAGGCAAAAUAAUUUCUCCUUACGUUGUUUAAAGUAAAUCUGGGUGCAAAAUCUGAGUCGGUCUUCUGGACCUACUCAUCACCAAACUCUUUAAACUCCUGUCUUGUUUUUUAAAUAUUCUUGCCCUCU
Molecule: long non-coding RNA, 2355 nt
Organism: Xiphophorus couchianus (Monterrey platyfish)
Lineage: Eukaryota; Metazoa; Chordata; Actinopteri; Cyprinodontiformes; Poeciliidae
Exons: 3
Source: RefSeq, a predicted model, not a curated record